GACGAACGCUGGCGGCGUGCUUAACACAUGCAAGUCGAACGGAAAGGCCCUGCUUUUGUGGGGUGCUCGAGUGGCGAACGGGUGAGUAACACGUGAGUAACCUGCCCUUGACUUUGGGAUAACUUCAGGAAACUGGGGCUAAUACCGGAUAGGAGCUCCUGCUGCAUGGUGGGGGUUGGAAAGUUUCGGCGGUUGGGGAUGGACUCGCGGCUUAUCAGCUUGUUGGUGGGGUAGUGGUUUACCAAGGCUUUGACGGGUAGCCGGCCUGAGAGGGUGACCGGCCACAUUGGGACUGAGAUACGGCCCAGACUCCUACGGGAGGCAGCAGUGGGGAAUAUUGUACAAUGGGCGGAAGCCUGAUGCAGCAACGCCGCGUGCGGGAUGACGGCCUUCGGGUUGUAAACCGCUUUCGCCUGUGACGAAGCGUGAGUGACGGUAAUGGGUAAAGAAGCACCGGCUAACUACGUG
Molecule: ribosomal RNA, 468 nt
Filed under: uncultured bacterium
Lineage: Bacteria
Description: partial 16S ribosomal RNA
Rfam family: Bacterial small subunit ribosomal RNA
Source: RNAcentral